This 513-nucleotide ribosomal RNA is filed under the name uncultured bacterium. RNAcentral's name for it is "bacterial SSU rRNA". It matches the Rfam family "Bacterial small subunit ribosomal RNA", at positions 996 to 1509 of the family's 1533-position model. The record is from RNAcentral.
CGGAGCGGAGAUGCUCUGGUGCCUUCGGGAGCUGUGAGACAGGUGCUGCAUGGCUGUCGUCAGCUCGUGUUGUGAAAUGUUGGGUUAAGUCCCGNAACGAGCGCAACCCUUAUCCUUUGUUGCCAUCGAUUUGGUCGGGAACUCAAAGGAGACUGCCGGUGAUAAACCGGAGGAAGGUGGGGAUGACGUCAAGUCAUCAUGGCCCUUACGGCCAGGGCUACACACGUGCUACAAUGGCGCAUACAAAGAGAAGCGACCUCGCGAGAGCAAGCGGACCUCAUAAAGUGCGUCGUAGUCCGGAUCGGAGUCUGCAACUCGACUCCGUGAAGUCGGAAUCGCUAGUAAUCGUGGAUCAGAAUGCCACGGUGAAUACGUUCCCGGGCCUUGUACACACCGCCCGUCACACCAUGGGAGUGGGUUGCAAAAGAAGUAGGUAGCUUAACCUUCGGGAGGGCGCUUACCACUUUGUGAUUCAUGACUGGGGUGAAGUCGUAACAAGGUAGGCGUAGCGAG